GCAAGUCGAGCGGACCUUCGGGUCAGCGGCGGACGGGUGAGGAACACGCGAGUGAUCUAUCGAUGAGUGGGGGAUAUCGGGCCGAAAGGCGCGGCAAUCCCGCAUACGUUCCUACGGGAAGAAAGCUGGGCAACUGGCGCUCAUCGCGGAGCUCGCGGCCCAUUAGCUAGUUGGGGGGGUAACGGCCUCCCAAGGCGACGAUGUGUAGCCGGCCUGAGAGGGUGAACGGCCACACUGGGACUGAGACACGGCCCAGACUCCUACGGGAGGCAGCAGUAGGGAAUCUUCCACAAUGGGCGCAAGCCUGAUGGAGCAACGCCGCGUGAGUGAAGACGGCCUUCAGGUUGUAAAGCUCUGUCUGUCGGGACGAAGACCGGGACGGGAGUCCCGGGGAGCCGGUACCGACGAAGGAGGCCCCUGCAAACUACGUGCCAGCAGCCGCGGUAAGACGUAGGGGGCAAGCGUUGUCCGGAAUUACUGGGCGUAAAGGGCGUGUAGGCGGUGCGAUACGUAGUGGAUUUAAGCCCCCGGCUCACCCGGAGGAGGGCGGCUAAACGGUCGCACUGGAGGGCAGGAGAGGUGCGUGGAAUUCCUGGUGGAGCGGUGAAAUGCGUA
This 615-nucleotide ribosomal RNA is filed under the name uncultured Sulfobacillus sp. RNAcentral describes it as "bacterial SSU rRNA". It matches the Rfam family "Bacterial small subunit ribosomal RNA", at positions 57 to 692 of the family's 1533-position model. Lineage: Bacteria; Bacillati; Bacillota; Clostridia; Eubacteriales; Clostridiales Family XVII. Incertae Sedis. The record is from RNAcentral.